UACGGGGGGAGCAAGCGUUGUUCGGAUUUACUGGGCGUAAAGCGCACGUAGGCGGAUCGAUCAGUCAGGGGUGAAAUCCCAGAGCUCAACUCUGGAACUGCCUUUGAUACUGUCGAUCUGGAGUAUGGAAGAGGUGAGUGGAAUUCCGAGUGUAGAGGUGAAAUUCGUAGAUAUUCGCAAGAACACCAGUGGCGAAGGCGGCUCACUGGCCCGAUACUGACGCUGAGGCACGAAAGCGUGGGGAGCAAACAGG
Molecule: ribosomal RNA, 253 nt
Filed under: uncultured bacterium
Lineage: Bacteria
Description: partial 16S ribosomal RNA
Rfam family: Bacterial small subunit ribosomal RNA
Source: RNAcentral